Long non-coding RNA from Branchiostoma belcheri (Belcher's lancelet), 571 nucleotides. RefSeq lists it as uncharacterized. The transcript has 3 exons. Lineage: Eukaryota; Metazoa; Chordata; Leptocardii; Amphioxiformes; Branchiostomatidae. The record is from RefSeq and is a predicted model, not a curated record.
CUUGGCGCUGGGACAAGUUUUGGUUGAUCAGGCUCUUUCCAAGGGAGCGAAAUAGUCUGAUUCUCCUCCCAUGGGCCAAUAUUGAAUUUGCACUCCAGGCAGUGCUCUUACUAUCCAACUGACGUAGCUGGACCAUCCAAAGCCAGCGGAUUCAAACGGACUCUGUUCCUUUCAGUAACCUCUCCACGAGUAGUAUUCUCUUCAAAACGACGACAAACUGGUUUGAAAUUUACAUCGGAUCCUGAAAAAAGGCACCAUGUUGGAAGGUCCUUCCUUGUUAUGAUCAGACAGCCAAGAGAAAUUGUCCACCAGCAUCAUAAUUUUUUUUUACAUACUACAUAGUCAAACCCCAAGGCGGUUGACAAGCUUCUGUACAAGGUGUGGAUUGAUAGCAUCACCCAUCAACAACUUCCACAACUGGUGUACCACAAGGAAGUAUGUUUGGACCACACCCCCACUUCAGUCUAUACUAUUAGCUACUGAAGAUGCCAUUCUGCAAGUAUACAAUAUCAUGCCAUGUAACAGUCACGUGGCAUUUAUGAUCAUACUUUUGUAGGAAGUUUCUUCCCUG